Molecule: ribosomal RNA, 833 nt
Filed under: uncultured bacterium
Lineage: Bacteria
Description: bacterial SSU rRNA
Rfam family: Bacterial small subunit ribosomal RNA
Source: RNAcentral
CAUGCAGUCGAACGGAGCUGAGAGGAGCUUGCUUUUCUCAGCUUAGUGGCGAACGGGUGAGUAACGCGUGAGUAACCUGCCCUGGAGUGGGGGACAACAGUUGGAAACGACUGCUAAUACCGCAUAAGCCCACGAUCCGGCAUCGGAUUGAGGGAAAAGGAUUUAUUCGCUUCAGGAUGGACUCGCGUCCAAUUAGCUAGUUGGUGAGGUAACGGCCCACCAAGGCGACGAUUGGUAGCCGGACUGAGAGGUUGAACGGCCACAUUGGGACUGAGACACGGCCCAGACUCCUACGGGAGGCAGCAGUGGGGGAUAUUGCACAAUGGGGGAAACCCUGAUGCAGCGACGCCGCGUGGAGGAAGAAGGUUUUCGGAUUGUAAACUCCUGUCGUUAGGGACGAUAAUGACGGUACCUAACAAGAAAGCACCGGCUAACUACGUGCCAGCAGCCGCGGUAAAACGUAGGGUGCAAGCGUUGUCCGGAAUUACUGGGUGUAAAGGGAGCGCAGGCGGACCGGCAAGUUGGAAGUGAAAACUAUGGGUUCAACCCAUAAAUUGCUUUCAAAACUGCUGGCCUUGAGUAGUGCAGAGGUAGGUGGAAUUCCCGGUGUAGCGGUGGAAUGCGUAGAUAUCGGGAGGAACACCAGUGGCGAAGGCGACCUACUGGGCACCAACUGACGCUGAGGCUCGAAAGCAUGGGUAGCAAACAGGAUUAGAUACCCUGGUAGUCCAUGCCGUAAACGAUGAUUACUAGGUGUUGGAGGAUUGACCCCUUCAGUGCCGCAGUUAACACAAUAAGUAAUCCACCUGGGGAGUACGACCGCAAGGUUGAAA